CUCCAGACUCCUACGGGAGGCAGCAGUGGGGGAUAUUGCACAAUGGGGGAAACCCUGAUGCAGCGACGCCGCGUGGGUGAAGAAGCGCCUCGGCGCGUAAAGCCCUGUCAGCAGGGAAGAAAAUGACGGUACCUGACUAAGAAGCCCCGGCUAACUACGUGCCAGCAGCCGCGGUAAUACGUAGGGGGCAAGCGUUAUCCGGAAUUACUGGGUGUAAAGGGAGCGCAGACGGCAGUGCAAGUCUGGAGUGAAAGCCCGUGGCUUAACCACGGGACUGCUCUGGAAACUGUGCAGCUAGAGUGCAGGAGAGGCAGGCGGAAUUCCUAGUGUAGCGGUGAAAUGCGUAGAUAUUAGGAGGAACACCAGUGGCGAAGGCGGCUUACUGGACUGUAAAUGACGCUGAGGCUCGAAAGCGUGGGGAGCAAACAGGAUUAGAUACCCGCGUACA
Molecule: ribosomal RNA, 448 nt
Filed under: uncultured bacterium
Lineage: Bacteria
Description: bacterial SSU rRNA
Rfam family: Bacterial small subunit ribosomal RNA
Source: RNAcentral